This 1063-nucleotide long non-coding RNA is filed under the name Glycine max (soybean). RNAcentral's name for it is "long non-coding RNA (GMAX_LNC004263)". Lineage: Eukaryota; Viridiplantae; Streptophyta; Magnoliopsida; Fabales; Fabaceae. The record is from RNAcentral.
AAAAGUGUAAGAAAGAGAGUGAAUAGAGAAGAUGGAGGUGGAGCGUUCUUCGCCGUGCAACUGCGUGGAGCUUCUCGACGAUGGUCGCCACGACCAGGCCAUUCGCCUCCAAGAGUACUUGUCUGAUCCACAAACUCUUCUCCAACUCAAAAACGAUUCCGAACACAAGCUGUCCAUCACCGAUUACCAACUUCGUCUCGCCAAACUCAAAUCUCAACUCUACGUUGCUUCUGCUGGUUCCUUCCUUCUUAAUCAUGCAAAUAAUUUAAUGAUAAAUUGAUUGAUAAACUUUACAACUUAAUCAUGUAAUCAAUUUGUACUUUUUAUUUUAGAUAUCAAUUUGUCAGAUCAUCACACUUUUGUGGAUAAAUUUGAGUAUUUACUCUGUCUUUCCUAUCUCAUUUCUUAUUUUGAGUAUAUAUAUGUGUGUGUUAUAAAUCUUCCUGCAAAUAGUGUUCGGGAUUACCUCCUGCCAGCUACACAGAACCUGUUAAAAGAUUUGGAUGCACUGGAUCCAGCACACAAAAAGAAGCCAUUGAAAUUAUUAUAAAGGAAAGAUCUGGGGCAAGUGUUGGUGGUGGUGGUGCAAGCAAGUCGAUGGGUUCUCAUCUUGGGCUUGUAUCAUCAGUGAGCAACUUCUUUGGUGAUGGUGGCUUGCUUGGAAAGAGAGACAGCACAGAAGCACAGCAGCCAGAGAGAGUUGUAUCCCCCAAGGCUACAUCACAACCACAACCAGAGGACACUAGAUUAAGGCGCAUCAUGCUGGGACAUUUCACCUACAUACUUAGGACCAAGGGAAAAUCCCAAGACGAAAUUCACAACCAAUAAGAUGCAUUUUUCAAAUUUUUUUAACAAGUAGAAUUAUUUCCCAAAUAGGCAAGAUUUCUUUUUUGUUCUGUUUUGGGAAACAAUUCAAUCUUUUUAUAGUGAUUGUUUUGCUAUAAGAGCUGGAAAUGUCAAUAAAGUUUGCUUUUGAAGGAAUCAGUACAUGUUUGGUUUGUCAUUUAAAAUAUUGUGAAUGUAAAUUCAUGGAAUAAAAGGAGAAUAAAUAUAUAUACGUAAA